RNAcentral lists this ribosomal RNA (253 nucleotides) under uncultured bacterium. RNAcentral's name for it is "partial 16S ribosomal RNA". It matches the Rfam family "Bacterial small subunit ribosomal RNA", at positions 524 to 776 of the family's 1533-position model. The record is from RNAcentral.
GACAGAGGAUGCAAGCGUUAUCCGGAAUUAUUGGGCGUAAAGAGCUCGUAGGCGGUUUGUCGCGUCUGCUGUGAAAACCCGAGGCUCAACCUCGGGCCUGCAGUGGGUACGGGCAGACUAGAGUGCGGUAGGGGAGAUUGGAAUUCCUGGUGUAGCGGUGGAAUGCGCAGAUAUCAGGAGGAACACCAAUGGCGAAGGCAGAUCUCUGGGCCGUAACUGACGCUGAGGAGCGAAAGCAUGGGGAGCGAACAGG